This 501-nucleotide ribosomal RNA is filed under the name uncultured bacterium. Its description in RNAcentral is "partial 16S ribosomal RNA". It matches the Rfam family "Bacterial small subunit ribosomal RNA", at positions 30 to 523 of the family's 1533-position model. The record is from RNAcentral.
AUUGAACGCUGGCGGCAGGCUUAACACAUGCAAGUCGAGCGGGGGAAGGUAGCUUGCUACCGGACCUAGCGGCGGACGGGUGAGUAAUGCUUAGGAAUCUGCCUAUUAGUGGGGGACAACAUCUCGAAAGGGAUGCUAAUACCGCAUACGUCCUACGGGAGAAAGCAGGGGAUCUUCGGACCUUGCGCUAAUAGAUGAGCCUAAGUCGGAUUAGCUAGUUGGUGGGGUAAAGGCCUACCAAGGCGACGAUCUGUAGCGGGUCUGAGAGGAGGUUCCGCCACCCUGGGACUGAGACACGGCCCAGACUCCUACGGGAGGCAGCAGUAUGGAUUAUUGGACAAUGGGGGGAACCCUGAUCCAGCCAUGCCGCGUGUGUGAAGAAGGCCUUAUGGUUGUAAAGCACUUUAAGCGAGGAGGAGGCUACUUUAGUUAAUACCUAGAGAUAGUGGACGUUACUCGCAGAAUAAGCACCGGCUAACUCUGUGCCAGCAGCCGCAGUAA